Acipenser ruthenus (sterlet) is the source of this 585-nucleotide long non-coding RNA. RefSeq lists it as uncharacterized. The transcript is spliced from 6 exons. NCBI's taxonomy places the organism in Eukaryota, Metazoa, Chordata, Actinopteri, Acipenseriformes, Acipenseridae. The record is from RefSeq and is a predicted model, not a curated record.
GGGGAAGACCCGUGCCGUUCUCUCAUUGCACAAACCCUUCCAUCUCUACAGAGAAUGCCACCAGAAGACCUCCGACUGAAUUUUCAGAGGAGUGUCCUCAUGAAGCUUGACAGCAUUCUUGAGAAGAAGCAGGAAGGCUUGGUCCUAUUGCAGAGGGUGGUUUCUUCCCUUGGCAGCAGUGUGGAGGACAUUGACGAUGUGUUUCCUCGACCCUGGCAGACCAUAGAAGAAAUGGAAAAUAUGUGCACCCAUCUCGAUAAAGAUGCUGACUUGAGGAAAAAAAUGAUCCUGUACCUGAGUUCCAUUAGAGGGACUGACCUGGGAGACACAGUACCGAAAAUUAUACACAAGCUGUUUACAAACAAGCUUAUGUCGCGCUACAACAUGAAGGCCAGAAAUGGAAAGCUGAGGUUCCAUUAAAGAAACAACCAAAUGGAACCACAAGGUGACCAGGACAGAGGUGGAGUUGAAAGUAGGGGAGACUCUGAAACUGGCACUACAUCGACAGAAACAAAAUCAGGAAAGGCUGAACAAGUCCAAGGAAAGGGCAGAAGAUGAGGUGGCCAGUGGACUAAUGAUGAAUUG